Molecule: small nuclear RNA, 107 nt
Filed under: Dasypus novemcinctus (nine-banded armadillo)
Lineage: Eukaryota; Metazoa; Chordata; Mammalia; Cingulata; Dasypodidae
Source: RNAcentral
GUGCUCACUUCAAUAGCAUAUAUACUAAAAUUGGAAUGAUACAGAGAAGAUUAGCAUGGCCCCGGUGCAAGGAUGACAGGCAAAUUCGUGAAACAUUCCACAAAUUU